RNAcentral lists this long non-coding RNA (898 nucleotides) under Elaeis guineensis (African oil palm). RNAcentral's name for it is "long non-coding RNA (EGUI_LNC070072)". The record is from RNAcentral. Lineage: Eukaryota; Viridiplantae; Streptophyta; Magnoliopsida; Arecales; Arecaceae.
UCUCGCAGCGAGGGUAAGAGAGGUGGAGGAAUCCAUCCCCGAAACUCAAAACGGGGUCUUUGGUAUUCAUCCCACGCUUCUUUCUUCUUAACUGGCUGCUCAGAGAGUGACGCCGGUUCGAUAUAAUGGUUGAACUCUUAAUCAGUCAGGCCCCUUGGUGUAUUGACCCACACAGGAUGCGGAGGUUCAGGGGCACGUCCGGUACCUUCGCGUAUGUGUCAUCUCCACUCCAGCAUGCUUAUGUUCUUACAGAAUGCCCAUGCCUUGGUUUUCCAGAGUUAAGCGGUGGUGCUAUAGACGGGUCCCGCGAGGCAGUUUAGACUCGACCAAUAUAUUCUACGGAAACGGGCAACCCGAGCAUCCACCCAAGGAGAAAGAAGCGUGGCAGGAUUAUGUAAAAAGUCCUUACCAAAAAAAAGUAUAUGGUCCAGGGAUAACAACAAAAGGGAAAGACGCAGACAGAGGAUUAUAAUGGGUGGUUAGAGGACGAGAUAAAGGGAAUGAUCAAAAUGACUAUUAUGGAAGUGCCGCAGUAUAAGCUGAAGGAGCUGCAGGAAAAAAUAACGAAGAGAGAGAAAGAAGAGGCGAAGAAGAAGGAAGGAAAGAAGCAAAGAAAGCCGGCUGCGAGGGAUCAGGAUCUCUUUUCUGGCGAUGUGGAGACCUUCCCUUUCUACUCCGUUCUUUCUCCAGGCGACAGGUGGAACUCCAAGUGAUAGGUGAAAAGAGACCCUCUUCUGAGCUUCUGGGAUGGAGUCUGGAUCUUGACCAACCCAUAUGGAAGAAAGCUUUCUUUGAUGAGAUUCUUUGCCUUGCACGCAUGCAUGGCCUUGAACUUUGGUUGGUUAGCUGCCUACUCGGUUACCCAUGCCAGGGUCUAUUUCCUUUUUUGAGCUGGAUU